GAUGAGCGCUGGCGGCGUGCCUAAUACAUGCAAGUCGAGCGAACAGACGAGGAGCUUGCUCCUCUGACGUUAGCGGCGGACGGGUGAGUAACACGUGGAUAACCUACCUAUAAGACUGGGAUAACUUCGGGAAACCGGAGCUAAUACCGGAUAAUAUAUUGAACCGCAUGGUUCAAAAGUGAAAGACGGUUUUGCUGUCACUUAUAUAUGGAUCCGCGCCGCAUUAGCUAGUUGGUAAGGUAACGGCUUACCAAGGCAACGAUGCGUAGCCGACCUGAGAGGGUGAUCGGCCACACUGGAACGGAGACACGGUCCAGACUCCUACGGGAGGCAGCAGUAGGGAAUCUUCCGCAAUGGGCGAAAGCCUGACGGAGCAACGCCGCGUGAGUGAUGAAGGUCUUCGGAUCGUAAAACUCUGUUAUUAGGGAAGAACAAAUGUGUAAGUAACUAUGCACGUCUUGACGGUACCUAAUCAGAAAGCCACGGCUAACUACGUG
Molecule: ribosomal RNA, 497 nt
Filed under: uncultured bacterium
Lineage: Bacteria
Description: partial 16S ribosomal RNA
Rfam family: Bacterial small subunit ribosomal RNA
Source: RNAcentral